CAGGGAGUAGGGCACCCUCAGAGAAUGUGGCUUUGGACUUCAUCACAGCUGAGGCCUUUUGUGUCACUUAAGAUCUAAACUUGUAACCAUGCUAGAUGUGUUUCUAAUGUGACAACAUCACGAACCACAAGUCCAGAAGCCUAAUCCUUAAUCCUACCUCCUCAUGAUGAAGUCUCAUGCUCUGUGCUCAACGUGGUUAGCUGCACAAGAUGUAAACCAAAGCUUCACUGAACCCUCGACCCAAAUCGGUAACUCAAGUGCGUCAAUCAUAAUGAACCUCCC
Molecule: long non-coding RNA, 282 nt
Filed under: Homo sapiens (human)
Lineage: Eukaryota; Metazoa; Chordata; Mammalia; Primates; Hominidae
Description: HSALNT0121932
Source: RNAcentral